RNAcentral lists this ribosomal RNA (427 nucleotides) under uncultured bacterium. Its description in RNAcentral is "bacterial SSU rRNA". It matches the Rfam family "Bacterial small subunit ribosomal RNA", at positions 42 to 471 of the family's 1533-position model. The record is from RNAcentral.
UCAGGCCUAACACAUGCAAGUCGAACGGCAGCACGGGAGCAAUCCUGGUGGCGAGUGGCGAACGGGUGAGUAAUACAUCGGAACGUGCCCAAUCGUGGGGGAUAACGUAGCGAAAGCUACGCUAAUACCGCAUACGAUCUACGGAUGAAAGCGGGGGAUCGCAAGACCUCGCGCGAAUGGAGCGGCCGAUGGCAGAUUAGGUAGUUGGUGGGGUAAAGGCUCACCAAGCCAACGAUCUGUAGCUGGUCUGAGAGGACGACCAGCCACACUGGAACUGAGACACGGUCCAGACUCCUACGGGAGGCAGCAGUGGGGAAUUUUGGACAAUGGGCGCAAGCCUGAUCCAGCAAUGCCGCGUGCAGGAUGAAGGCCUUCGGGUUGUAAACUGCUUUUGUACGGAACGAAACGGCGAGCUCUAAUACAGUUG